UACGUAGGGACCGAGCGUUGUCCGGAAUCAUUGGGCGUAAAGAGCGUGUAGGCGGCCUGGUAGGUCUGCUGUGAAAACUCGAGGCUCAACCUCGAGAUGUCGGCGGAAACCAUCUGGCUAGAGUCCGGAAGAGGAGAGUGGAAUUCCUGGUGUAGCGGUGAAAUGCGCAGAUAUCGGGAAGAACACCCGUGGCGAAGGCGGCUCUCUGGGACGGUACUGGACGCUGAGACGCGAAAGCGUGGGGAGCGAACAGG
Molecule: ribosomal RNA, 254 nt
Filed under: uncultured bacterium
Lineage: Bacteria
Description: partial 16S ribosomal RNA
Rfam family: Bacterial small subunit ribosomal RNA
Source: RNAcentral